AUCGAUCAUAUGAUAGAUUCAAUUAGCUCGAGUCCGUGUGUGAUUCUUAUAAAAACUCUUUUCCAUCAAUCACACUGCUAUGGCCAUAGACUUAAGGACUCAGCUUCUUAAAUUUCUAAGACUACUUCUUUCUGCUAGGAUCGAUAGAUUCCCUCACAGUGAGCAGACAUCCAUGUGACUUUUCAUGUUGGUCACGCUUAGUGCUAGUUGUUCUCUAACAACCACCUACACUCUUACUCCAGUGUCACUGCAUCG
Molecule: long non-coding RNA, 255 nt
Filed under: Elaeis guineensis (African oil palm)
Lineage: Eukaryota; Viridiplantae; Streptophyta; Magnoliopsida; Arecales; Arecaceae
Description: long non-coding RNA (EGUI_LNC039103)
Source: RNAcentral